RNAcentral lists this ribosomal RNA (441 nucleotides) under uncultured bacterium. Its description in RNAcentral is "partial 16S ribosomal RNA". It matches the Rfam family "Bacterial small subunit ribosomal RNA", at positions 338 to 795 of the family's 1533-position model. The record is from RNAcentral.
CCUACGGGUGGCAGCAGUGGGGGAUAUUGCACAAUGGGGGAAACCCUGAUGCAGCGACGCCGCGUGGGUGAAGAAGUAUUUCGGUAUGUAAAGCCCUAUCAGCAGGGAAGAAAGAAGACGGUACCUGACUAAGAAGCCCCGGCUAACUACGUGCCAGCAGCCGCGGUAAUACGUAGGGGGCGAGCGUUAUCCGGAUUCACUGGGUGUAAAGGGAGCGUAGACGGCCGUGCAAGCCAGGAGUGAAAGCCCGGGGCCCAACCCCGGGACUGCUCUUGGAACUGUGCGGCUGGAGUGCGGGAGGGGCAGGCGGAAUUCGUGGUGUAGCGGUGAAAUGCGUAGAUAUCAGGAGGAACACCGGCGGCGAAGGCGGCCUGCUGGACCGCGACUGACGUUGAGGCUCGAAAGCGUGGGGAGCGAACAGGAUUAGAUACCCUAGUAGUC